Cercocebus atys (sooty mangabey) is the source of this 110-nucleotide ribosomal RNA. The record is from Ensembl. Lineage: Eukaryota; Metazoa; Chordata; Mammalia; Primates; Cercopithecidae.
AUCUACGGCCAUACCACCCUGAAUGCGCCCGAUCUCGUCUAAUCUUUGAAGCUUAAGCAAGGUCGGGCCUGGUUAGUACUUGGAUGGGAAAAUGCCAGGUGCUGUAGGCU